ACGCAGUCCAUCACCACGACUCGCUGAGCCGCCUGUCGGUGAAGUUUCCCUUUCGGAUCCACGGCUUGGCCCAGGGUAGGGAAGUCCCGAAAACCCAAGCUGCGACGACUCACCGACGCUUCCUCGAAACCGACACGCAAUCAAACAGGAUCCAAGACAUUCCCGGUGAGGUCCCGGAAGCGUGUCCAGUUGUCCUGGGAAUGCGCCGUGUGGAUACUGGAGACCGUGUUAUUUAUUUUAUUACUCCUGGUUGUCGAGUCGACCCACCAGAGUCGAUUCAUGAAGUUCGUUUCGAAAUUCCACGCAAACGCUGAAGAGAGGUUGUUUGUAUUCAAGGCGAGUCACCUGACAGGACGUGUUUUGUGAACAAACAGCGACGCAUGGGAAGGACGGAUCUGGGAGCGCAACGUGCGGUCAGUCCGUUCUACCUUGGACAGUCAGGCUCGCUCACCGCGCGGCGGAUAGUGUGCGGAGCGAUACUGCGCUUCCUACCACUGCUGGAAACCACGAAUUCAAGGGGCCCACCUUUGGCUGAGCAGACAUGACAUGGACUGCUCGCAGUGUCGGUGGAUUUGCAUCCCUUCCAGGCCUACAUUUGUUCUUUCUCAAGGGCAGGCAUAAUGGAGCCACAAUCGGUGAAAGUGUCAUUCCUGCAUGUGAUUCUCUCAUCUCCGCAAUACUUGCUAAAUGGAGAGGAUUGUAAGAAUAAAGUGGGUAGAGAAGAGAAAGAGAGAGGAGGAGGAGGAGGAGUAGAAGAAUUGGAGCGAAGAGGACAAAGACAAGAUGAGUGUGGCGGAUUUGGGGGUUGGGGAUGUGUACAAGGUGAAAGAAGACUGAAUGAUUCGUAUGAAGUAUGUGGAGCAAGAAGAGAGCAAAGGCAUGAAACUUCUCCAUCAUGCCACAUCCUAAGCCUGCAUCAAGAAAUCUCAAUUAAUCUGCUUGAUCCCUCCUCGGCCGAUGGACUGCGUCUGAAAGAAUGUCCCGACACGGCACAGUGGAAGGGAGGAAAGAGCUCGGGUGAAUCUUAUUGGCAUUUGUCAAGCCCAGGGAGGACGUUGAAUGGAUCUGAUGAGAGAAAUGGGGAAGAUGACUCCACAGAUAAAGCCUGUUGGAUUCAACGAGGAUCAUGUGUGGAACACAGCCAGGCUUAUGGUAUAACAGAUCCUGUUGGGUUGAUGGAAACACCCAGAGCUUCAAAUCCUCAUUCAUUCCUGCGUCGAUAUCCUUUCAGCCGCUGCUAUGAUGUGGAGAUUUUAAACAAUUUUCACAGAGCACAUUCAACUGGGGAAGUGGAAACGAUGACGGGGAGUUUACAGUGUUCACGCAGUGAAGAAGCAGAACAGUUUGGCACCCCGUGUGCCUCAACUUACCAUGGGACGCACUAUUUUGGCUCACGCAGAAGGUCCUUAAACUGCAGACAACUUCCGUUUUGCAAAGGGGACACACCUACGUCUCCUGUUUUGCCAUCUAAUCCUCGAUGGAAAGUUCAGGUCAGCUGCGUGAGUCCUGUAUCUCCGGAACAGCACGUGAGCAGAAAACCCGGUGUGCAGGCCACGGUGGUGACCGCAAUGCCACGAGCCAACUCGGUUAACAUGGAGGUCAUACGGUUGCAGGCCAAACCUGGAAAACAAGGUGGUUCUGAAGGAGCGGAUGGUGAUGCAUCAACGAAGGAGGAGUUCUUCAUCUGCCUAGGACAGGUCACACCAGCUGGCUCCCAGAAUCCCAUAAAACCUACCAGUAGCUGUUUCUUCAGUCCAUCCUCACUUUCCCCAGCUUGCGGAUACAUCAGAGUUGGAGAUGGGACACCAGUGCUAACCGGUCGAGCUGCUUCGCCUCGAGCCUUGGAGAACAUACUGUACAGCACAGACGACGAGAAGACCGAGGCCAGGCCGAUGAGAAACGGUGAAGCCUCAUUGCCUGCCUGGCCUUUUCCGCAGCAGCCAAUGCUAUCAGAUGAAUGGAGGUCACUGGAGAUCCAGACCACGAUAGAAGAUAGCAAUGGAAGAAGGUCAGUGGCAUUAGGAUGUGAGGACAACUAUGUGACUAUUCAGACAAUGCCAGCACAAACAGAUCAGACAUGGAUUGGACAAAAAUUGGGAGCUUGCACUGUAGCAGAGACAGAGAGCAAACCUGGGCUGAGCACCGAGUGUUUCAAGGUAACUGCUGUGGAAGGAGAUUUGUCUGUGCCAAGUCCAAAAUCAUCCCAAAGCGAUGGGAAGCUCACAUCAAUUUGGGAAGUGCAAAGUUCAAGUGCUGCAACACAAGACUCCUUUGUGCCUGUCACAUCUUCUAGCCCCACCAUCAAGGACAUUCUCCCUUGGGAAAUUUCAGCCAUGACCUGUCUCAAAGAAAGCACAUCCCUUGCAGCUCAAUUUUCAACAGGUUCACAAUCUGAGCAGUGCUGUGGUGUGGCAGAUGAGACAAAAUAUGGAGAGAUGUUGGAGCCGGGAAAGAUUAGCAUUGAAAGUCCGAAUAAGGGAAUAGCGGCCGAAGGAGGUUUGGCAAGGCUGAUGGUACGUGAAAUCCAGCGCAGCCUUCAGCCCCCCUUGUUCUUGCAGCCAGAAGAGCUUCAAGAUUCAUUCUCCAAGCAGGCGGAGUCCAUCUUAGAGUCACACCGUAGUGCUGGAAUGGCUUGUUCUAGCCUUGAUUCCUUGGACAUUCUCAAUGCUGCAGCAGAUGAUGAACAAAUUGAUCAUGAUCAUAAUCGAGAUGAUCGCAAUAAUGAUGAUGACUAUGACGUGUGCACACAAUCCUCGGGCUCGAAUGACGAUGCUGUUGUCAUGACUGAUGGCGGAGCCUUGAGUUGCAUUGUUGGAGAUCCGGGAUUCAAACAAGGCUCGGAAGGACAAUCUGUCGUAUGGAGGUUGUCCUCUGCGUUUCAGGAGACACAAAAGGAAAGCACAUUCAAUUCGGAAGCUUUGACAAAGUCUACACAUUUAUUACAAGACCCUGCUUUGUCAAAGAACCAGUCAUUCGGUACUGUUAACCAAAUCACUGAACAUUCCUCUCCAAGGUUUCAUCAACCAUCAGAUGGGCAACAUGCUUGUGGGCCAGACAAGAUGGCGAUUGCGAAAGAUGAAGAAAGCAGCAUUGUGGGGG
Molecule: long non-coding RNA, 3099 nt
Organism: Eptatretus burgeri (inshore hagfish)
Lineage: Eukaryota; Metazoa; Chordata; Myxini; Myxiniformes; Myxinidae
Source: Ensembl